Molecule: ribosomal RNA, 253 nt
Filed under: uncultured bacterium
Lineage: Bacteria
Description: partial 16S ribosomal RNA
Rfam family: Bacterial small subunit ribosomal RNA
Source: RNAcentral
GACGGAGGAUGCAAGUGUUAUCCGGAAUCACUGGGCGUAAAGCGUCUGUAGGUGGUCAAAUAAGUCAACUGUUAAAUCUUGAGGCUUAACCUCAAAAUCGCAGUCGAAACUAUUAGACUAGAGUAUAGUAGGGGUAAAGGGAAUUUCCAGUGGAGCGGUGAAAUGCGUAGAGAUUGGAAAGACCACCAAUGGCGAAGGCACUCUACUGGGCCAUUACUGACACUGAGAGACGAAAGCUAGGGGAGCAAAUGGG